CCAAAAGCUGGCGACCGGCGCACGGGUGAGUAACACGUAUCCAAUCUGCCUCAUACUCGGGGAUAGCCUUUCGAAAGAAAGAUUAAUAUCCGAUAGCAUAUAUUUCCCGCAUGGGUUUUAUAUUAAAGAAAUUCGGUAUGAGAUGGGGAUGCGUUCCAUUAGUUUGUUGGGGGGUAACGGCCCACCAAGACUACGAUGGAUAGGGGUUCUGAGAGGAAGGUCCCCCACAUUGGAACUGAGACACGGUCCAA
RNAcentral lists this ribosomal RNA (251 nucleotides) under uncultured bacterium. Its description in RNAcentral is "partial 16S ribosomal RNA". It matches the Rfam family "Bacterial small subunit ribosomal RNA", at positions 80 to 334 of the family's 1533-position model. The record is from RNAcentral.